UACGAAGGGGGCUAGCGUUGUUCGGAUUUACUGGGCGUAAAGCGCGUGUAGGCGGGUCGUUAAGUUGGGGGUGAAAUCCCGAGGCUCAACCUCGGAACUGCCUUCAAAACUGGCGACCUGGAGCAAGGUAGAGGCAAGUGGAAUUGCGAGUGUAGAGGUGAAAUUCGUAGAUAUUCGCAGGAACACCAGUGGCGAAGGCGACUUGCUGGAUCUUUGCUGACGCUGAGACGCGAAAGCGUGGGGAGCAAACAGG
RNAcentral lists this ribosomal RNA (253 nucleotides) under uncultured bacterium. RNAcentral describes it as "partial 16S ribosomal RNA". It matches the Rfam family "Bacterial small subunit ribosomal RNA", at positions 524 to 776 of the family's 1533-position model. The record is from RNAcentral.